GGUUAAGCGACUAAGCGUACACGGUGGAUGCCCUGGCAGUCAGAGGCGAUGAAGGACGUGCUAAUCUGCGAAAAGCGUCGGUAAGGUGAUAUGAACCGUUAUAACCGGCGAUGUCCGAAUGGGGAAACCCAGUGUGAUUCGUCACACUAUCGUUAACUGAAUACAUAGGUUAACGAGGCGAACCGGGGGAACUGAAACAUCUAAGUACCCCGAGGAAAAGAAAUCAACCGAGAUUCCCCCAGUAGCGGCGAGCGAACGGGGAGCAGCCCAGAGUCUGAAUCAGCUUGUGUGUUAGUGGAACGGUCUGGAAAGUCCGACGGUACAGGGUGAUAGUCCCGUACACCAAAAUGCACAGGUUGUGAACUCGAAGAGUAGGGCGGGACACGUGGUAUCCUGUCUGAAUAUGGGGGGACCAUCCUCCAAGGCUAAAUACUCCUGACUGACCGAUAGUGAACCAGUACCGUGAGGGAAAGGCGAAAAGAACCCCGGCGAGGGGAGUGAAAAAGAACCUGAAACCGUGUACGUACAAGCAGUGGGAGCACCUUCGGGUGUGACUGCGUACCUUUUGUAUAAUGGGUCAGCGACUUAUAUUCUGUAGCAAGGUUAACCGUAUAGGGGAGCCGCAGGGAAACCGAGUCUUAACUGGGCGUUAAGUUGCAGGGUAUAGACCCGAAACCCGGUGAUCUAGCCAUGGGCAGGUUGAAGGUUGGGUAACACUAACUGGAGGACCGAACCGACUAAUGUUGAAAAAUUAGCGGAUGACUUGUGGCUGGGGGUGAAAGGCCAAUCAAACCGGGAGAUAGCUGGUUCUCCCCGAAAGCUAUUUAGGUAGCGCCUCGUGAACUCAUCUUCGGGGGUAGAGCACUGUUUCGGCUAGGGGGUCAUCCCGACUUACCAACCCGAUGCAAACUACGAAUACCGAAGAAUGUUAUCACGGGAGACACACGGCGGGUGCUAACGUCCGUCGUGAAGAGGGAAACAACCCAGACCGCCAGCUAAGGUCCCAAAGUCAUGGUUAAGUGGGAAACGAUGUGGGAAGGCACAGACAGCCAGGAUGUUGGCUUAGAAGCAGCCAUCAUUUAAAGAAAGCGUAAUAGCUCACUGGUCGAGUCGGCCUGCGCGGAAGAUGUAACGGGGCUAAACCAUGCACCGAAGCUGCGGCAGCGACACUAUGUGUUGUUGGGUAGGGGAGCGUUCUGUAAGCCUGCGAAGGUGUGCUGUGAGGCAUGCUGGAGGUAUCAGAAGUGCGAAUGCUGACAUAAGUAACGAUAAAGCGGGUGAAAAGCCCGCUCGCCGGAAGACCAAGGGUUCCUGUCCAACGUUAAUCGGGGCAGGGUGAGUCGACCCCUAAGGCGAGGCCGAAAGGCGUAGUCGAUGGGAAACAGGUUAAUAUUCCUGUACUUGGUGUUACUGCGAAGGGGGGACGGAGAAGGCUAUGUUAGCCGGGCGACGGUUGUCCCGGUUUAAGCAUGUAGGCUGGUUGUCCAGGCAAAUCCGGAUAAUCAAGGCUGAGGUGUGAUGACGAGGUACUACGGUGCUGAAGUAACAAAUGCCCUGCUUCCAGGAAAAGCCUCUAAGCAUCAGGUAACAUUAAAUCGUACCCCAAACCGACACAGGUGGUCAGGUAGAGAAUACCAAGGCGCUUGAGAGAACUCGGGUGAAGGAACUAGGCAAAAUGGUGCCGUAACUUCGGGAGAAGGCACGCUGGUGUGUAGGUGAAGUCCCUGCGGAUGGAGCUGAGACCAGUCGAAGAUACCAGCUGGCUGCAACUGUUUAUUAAAAACACAGCACUGUGCAAACACGAAAGUGGACGUAUACGGUGUGACGCCUGCCCGGUGCCGGAAGGUUAAUUGAUGGGGUUAUCCGUAAGGAGAAGCUCUUGAUCGAAGCCCCGGUAAACGGCGGCCGUAACUAUAACGGUCCUAAGGUAGCGAAAUUCCUUGUCGGGUAAGUUCCGACCUGCACGAAUGGCGUAAUGAUGGCCAGGCUGUCUCCACCCGAGACUCAGUGAAAUUGAACUCGCUGUGAAGAUGCAGUGUACCCGCGGCAAGACGGAAAGACCCCGUGAACCUUUACUAUAGCUUGACACUGAACAUUGAGCCUUGAUGUGUAGGAUAGGUGGGAGGCUUUGAAGCGUGGACGCCAGUCUGCGUGGAGCCAACCUUGAAAUACCACCCUUUAAUGUUUGAUGUUCUAACGUUGGCCCCUUACCGGGGUUGCGGACAGUGUCUGGUGGGUAGUUUGACUGGGGCGGUCUCCUCCCAAAGCGUAACGGAGGAGCACGAAGGUUAGCUAAUCCUGGUCGGACAUCAGGAGGUUAGUGCAAUGGCAUAAGCUAGCUUGACUGCGAGCGUGACGGCGCGAGCAGGUGCGAAAGCAGGUCAUAGUGAUCCGGUGGUUCUGAAUGGAAGGGCCAUCGCUCAACGGAUAAAAGGUACUCCGGGGAUAACAGGCUGAUACCGCCCAAGAGUUCAUAUCGACGGCGGUGUUUGGCACCUCGAUGUCGGCUCAUCACAUCCUGGGGCUGAAGUAGGUCCCAAGGGUAUGGCUGUUCGCCAUUUAAAGUGGUACGCGAGCUGGGUUUAGAACGUCGUGAGACAGUUCGGUCCCUAUCUGCCGUGGGCGCUGGAGAAUUGAGGGGGGCUGCUCCUAGUACGAGAGGACCGGAGUGGACGCAUCACUGGUGUUCGGGUUGUCAUGCCAAUGGCACUGCCCGGUAGCUAAAUGCGGAAGAGAUAAGUGCUGAAAGCAUCUAAGCACGAAACUUGCCCCGAGAUGAGUUCUCCCUGAGACUUUAAGUCUCCUGAAGGAACGUUGAAGACGAUGACGUUGAUAGGCCGGGUGUGUAAGCGCAGCGAUGCGUUGAGCUAACCGGUACUAAUGAACCGUGAGGCUUAACCUU
This 2902-nucleotide ribosomal RNA is filed under the name Klebsiella pneumoniae. RNAcentral's name for it is "23S ribosomal RNA". It matches the Rfam family "Bacterial large subunit ribosomal RNA". The record is from RNAcentral. Lineage: Bacteria; Pseudomonadati; Pseudomonadota; Gammaproteobacteria; Enterobacterales; Enterobacteriaceae.